AAAUUGAAGAGUUUGAUCAUGGCUCAGAUUGAACGCUGGCGGCAGGCCUAACACAUGCAAGUCGAACGGUAACAGGAAGCAGCUUGCUGCUUUGCUGACGAGUGGCGGACGGGUGAGUAAUGUCUGGGAAACUGCCUGAUGGAGGGGGAUAACUACUGGAAACGGUGGCUAAUACCGCAUAACGUCGCAAGACCAAAGAGGGGGACCUUCGGGCCUCUUGCCAUCAGAUGUGCCCAGAUGGGAUUAGCUUGUUGGUGAGGUAACGGCUCACCAAGGCGACGAUCCCUAGCUGGUCUGAGAGGAUGACCAGCCACACUGGAACUGAGACACGGUCCAGACUCCUACGGGAGGCAGCAGUGGGGAAUAUUGCACAAUGGGCGCAAGCCUGAUGCAGCCAUGCCGCGUGUAUGAAGAAGGCCUUCGGGUUGUAAAGUACUUUCAGCGGGGAGGAAGGUGUUGCGGUUAAUAACCGCAGCAAUUGACGUUACCCGCAGAAGAAGCACCGGCUAACUCCGUGCCAGCAGCCGCGGUAAUACGGAGGGUGCAAGCGUUAAUCGGAAUUACUGGGCGUAAAGCGCACGCAGGCGGUCUGUCAAGUCGGAUGUGAAAUCCCCGGGCUCAACUUGGGAACUGCAUUCGAAACUGGCAGGCUUGAGUCUUGUAGAGGGGGGUAGAAUUCCAGGUGUAGCGGUGAAAUGCGUAGAGAUCUGGAGGAAUACCGGUGGCGAAGGCGGCCCCCUGGACAAAGACUGACGCUCAGGUGCGAAAGCGUGGGGAGCAAACAGGAUUAGAUACCCUGGUAGUCCACGCCGUAAACGAUGUCUACUUGGAGGUUGUGCCCUUGAGGCGUGGCUUCCGGAGCUAACGCGUUAAGUAGACCGCCUGGGGAGUACGGCCGCAAGGUUAAAACUCAAAUGAAUUGACGGGGGCCCGCACAAGCGGUGGAGCAUGUGGUUUAAUUCGAUGCAACGCGAAGAACCUUACCUGGUCUUGACAUCCACGGAAGUUUUCAGAGAUGAGAAUGUGCCUUCGGGAAC
This 1037-nucleotide ribosomal RNA is filed under the name Salmonella enterica. Its description in RNAcentral is "bacterial SSU rRNA". It matches the Rfam family "Bacterial small subunit ribosomal RNA", at positions 1 to 1027 of the family's 1533-position model. The record is from RNAcentral. Lineage: Bacteria; Pseudomonadati; Pseudomonadota; Gammaproteobacteria; Enterobacterales; Enterobacteriaceae.